GCGCGAGUGGCGGAACUGGCAGACGCGCUAGGUUGAGGGCCUAGUGGGAGAUAAUCCCGUGGAGGUUCGAGUCCUCUCUCGCGCA
This 85-nucleotide transfer RNA is filed under the name Planctomycetales bacterium. Its description in RNAcentral is "tRNA-Leu". It matches the Rfam family "tRNA". From Rfam's summary of the family: Transfer RNA (tRNA) molecules are approximately 80 nucleotides in length. Their secondary structure includes four short double-helical elements and three loops (D, anti-codon, and T loops). Further hydrogen bonds mediate the characteristic L-shaped molecular structure. tRNAs have two regions of fundamental functional importance: the anti-codon, which is responsible for specific mRNA codon recognition, and the 3' end, to which the tRNAs corresponding amino acid is attached (by aminoacyl-tRNA synthetases). tRNAs cope with the degeneracy of the genetic code in two manners: having more than one tRNA (with a specific anti-codon) for a particular amino acid; and 'wobble' base-pairing, i.e. permitting non-standard base-pairing at the 3rd anti-codon position. Lineage: Bacteria; Pseudomonadati; Planctomycetota; Planctomycetia; Planctomycetales. The record is from RNAcentral.